UACGGUGAAUACGUUCCCGGACCUUGCACACACCGCCUGUCAAGCCAUGGAAGCCGGGUGUACCUAAAGUCGGUAACCGUAAGGAGCCGCCUAGGGUAAAACUGGUGACUGGGGUU
Molecule: ribosomal RNA, 116 nt
Filed under: uncultured bacterium
Lineage: Bacteria
Description: partial 16S ribosomal RNA
Rfam family: Bacterial small subunit ribosomal RNA
Source: RNAcentral